UGGGGAAUAUUGCACAAUGGGCGCACGCCUGAUGCAGCCAUGCCGCGUGUAUGAAGAAGGCCUUCGGGUUGUAAAGUACUUUCAGCGGGGAGGAAGGCGAUAAGGUUAAUAACCUUGUCGAUUGACGUUACCCGCAGAAGAAGCACCGGCUAACUCCGUGCCAGCAGCCGCGGUAAUACGGAGGGUGCAAGCGUUAAUCGGAAUUACUGGGCGUAAAUCGCACGCAGGCGGUCUGUCAAGUCGGAUGUGAAAUCCCCGGGCUCAACCUGGGAACUGCAUUCGAAACUGGCAGGCUAGAGUCUUGUAGAGGGGGGUAGAAUUCCAGGUGUAGCGGUGAAAUGCGUAGAGAUCUGGAGGAAUACCGGUGGCGAAGGCGGCCCCCUGGACAAAGACUGACGCUCAGGUGCGAAAGCGUGGGGAGCAAACA
Molecule: ribosomal RNA, 427 nt
Filed under: uncultured bacterium
Lineage: Bacteria
Description: partial 16S ribosomal RNA
Rfam family: Bacterial small subunit ribosomal RNA
Source: RNAcentral